CCGUAGCCCAAGAGACUGGGAUAACACCUGGAAACAGAUGCUAAUACCGGAUAACAACACUAGACGCAUGUCUAGAGUUUAAAAGAUGGUUCUGCUAUCACUCUUGGAUGGACCUGCGGUGCAUUAGCUAGUUGGUAAGGCAACGGCUUACCAAGGCAAUGAUGCAUAGCCGAGUUGAGAGACUGAUCGGCCACAUUGGGACUGAGACACGGCCCAAACUCCUACGGGAGGCAGCAGCA
Molecule: ribosomal RNA, 239 nt
Filed under: uncultured bacterium
Lineage: Bacteria
Description: partial 16S ribosomal RNA
Rfam family: Bacterial small subunit ribosomal RNA
Source: RNAcentral